This is a long non-coding RNA of Parus major (Great Tit), 627 nucleotides long. RefSeq lists it as uncharacterized. NCBI's taxonomy places the organism in Eukaryota, Metazoa, Chordata, Aves, Passeriformes, Paridae. The record is from RefSeq and is a predicted model, not a curated record. The transcript has 2 exons.
CAAAAUCCAACCCAAACCUCCCCUGGCCCAGCUCCAGCCCUUCCCUGGCUGCUGUCCCUGUCCCAGGAGCUGCAAACCCUGAAAAAUCCCCCCUCGGCCUCCUCCAGCUGAACAAUCCCAGUGCCUUCAGCUGCUCCUCCAUGGCCCCUCCAGACCCUUCCCAUCCUUGUGUUCCUCCUUUGGAUGCUCUCUGGGAGCUUUCCAAGUGAUUUUUCCUGGAGAGUCUUUACCCUGGCCCCAAAAGGCCUGCCAGCUGCUUCCCAUGUCUAUUUGCAGGUCUGUAUUUAAGCCAUGUUUUAAUCACUGUGUUUGGGCAGAUCCCAGCAGAAAUCAUGAUUUCCUCAACGUUUUCAAGUCAUGUUUCAUGCAAACCUCAAAGGAUUGGGCAACAAGGCUCGUUCAUCACCCAGCAGACUGUUUGUUGUAUGUGAAUCUUUGAAGGUUUUUGGAUUCUUCCCUUUCUUUCUCCCUCCACUGCCAUAUGUGGGAAAAAUUGGAAUUUGGGGUACUCAAGGAUAUCUGAACUAAAAGCCAAAGGAAAACAAUCAGAAAUCAGAGAUGCUGAAGAGUCAUAAUAAAAAUUCUGUUCUGGUCUUGAUCAGCUGCAAAAUAAAAGAACACAUUGCA